This 497-nucleotide ribosomal RNA is filed under the name uncultured bacterium. Its description in RNAcentral is "partial 16S ribosomal RNA". It matches the Rfam family "Bacterial small subunit ribosomal RNA", at positions 28 to 507 of the family's 1533-position model. The record is from RNAcentral.
GAUGAACGCUGGCGGCGUGCCUACUACAUGCAAGUCGAGCGAACGGCCGAGAAGCUUGCUUUUCUGAUGUUAGCGGCGGACGGGUGAGUAACACGUGGAUAACCUACCUAUAAGACUGGGAUAACUUCGGGAAACCGGAGCUAAUACCGGAUAAUAUUUUGAACCGCAUGGUUCAAAAGUGAAAGACGGUCUUGCUGUCACUUAUAGAUGGUUCCGCGCUGCAUUAGCUAGUUGGUAAGGUAACGGCUUACCAAGGCAACGAUGCAUAGCCGACCUGCGAGGGUGAUCGGCCACACGGGAACUGAGACACGGUCCAUACUCCUACGAGAGGCAGCAGUAGGGAAUCGGCCGCAAUGGGCGAAAGCCUGACGGAGCAACGCCGCGUGAGUGAUGGAGGUCUUCGGAUCGUAAAACUCUGUUAUGAGGGAAGAACAGAUGUGGAAGGAACUGUGCACAUCUUGACGGUACCUAAUCAGAAAGCCACGGCUAACUACGUG